CCUACGGGAGGCAGCAGUGGGGAAUAUUGGACAAUGGGCGAAAGCCUGAUCCAGCAAUGCCGCGUGUGUGAAGAAGGCCUUCGGGUUGUAAAGCACUUUCAAUAGGGAGGAAAAGCUAAUAGUUAAUACCUGUUAGCCGUGACGUUACCUAUAGAAGAAGCACCGGCUAACUCCGUGCCAGCAGCCGCGGUAAU
RNAcentral lists this ribosomal RNA (194 nucleotides) under uncultured Methylophaga sp. Its description in RNAcentral is "partial 16S ribosomal RNA". It matches the Rfam family "Bacterial small subunit ribosomal RNA", at positions 338 to 524 of the family's 1533-position model. The record is from RNAcentral. Lineage: Bacteria; Pseudomonadati; Pseudomonadota; Gammaproteobacteria; Thiotrichales; Piscirickettsiaceae.